UCCCUGUUGCCAGGGCAGUCUAAUUAGAAAAAUCCAACUAAUCAUAAGGGUUGCGCUCGUUGCGGGACUUAACCCAACAUCUCACGACACGAGCUGACGACGGCCAUGCAUCACCUGUCACUGCGCUCCUAAAAGGCACUCUCUACUUUCGAAGAAAUUCGCAGGAUGUCAAACCUUGGUAAGGUUCUCCGUUUAUCAUCGAAUUAAACAACACGCUCCACCGCUUGUGCGGGUCCCCGUCAAUUCCUUUGAGUUUUAGCCUUGCGACCGUACUCCCCAGGCGGGAUGCUUAACGCGUUAGCUUUGCUACAAGAGGGGUCGAUACCUCUAACAGCUAGCAUCCAUCGUUUACGGCGUGGACUA
Molecule: unclassified non-coding RNA, 363 nt
Filed under: uncultured bacterium
Lineage: Bacteria
Description: contains 16S-23S intergenic spacer region
Source: RNAcentral